RNAcentral lists this ribosomal RNA (429 nucleotides) under Chloroflexota bacterium. Its description in RNAcentral is "Chloroflexi bacterium partial 16S ribosomal RNA". It matches the Rfam family "Bacterial small subunit ribosomal RNA", at positions 355 to 776 of the family's 1533-position model. Lineage: Bacteria; Bacillati; Chloroflexota. The record is from RNAcentral.
UGGGGAAUAUUGCACAAUGGGCGCAAGCCUGAUGCAGCCAUGCCGCGUGUGUGAAGAAGGCCUUCGGGUUGUAAAGCACUUUCAGCGGGGAGGAAGGCGUUAAGGUUAAUAACCUUGGCGAUUGACGUUACCCGCAGAAGAAGCACCGGCUAACUCCGUGCCAGCAGCCGCGGUAAUACGGAGGGUGCAAGCGUUAAUCGGAAUUACUGGGCGUAAAGCGCACGCAGGCGGUCUGUCAAGUCGGAUGUGAAAUCCCCGGGCUCAACCUGGGAACUGCAUUAGAAACUGGCAGGCUAGAGUCGUGUAGAGGGGGGUAGAAUUCCAGGUGUAGCGGUGAAAUGCGUAGAGAUCUGGAGGAAUACCGGUGGCGAAGGCGACCCCCUGGACAAAGACUGACGCUCAGGUGCGAAAGCGUGGGGAGCAAACAGG